This 1963-nucleotide ribosomal RNA is filed under the name marine metagenome. Its description in RNAcentral is "bacterial LSU rRNA". It matches the Rfam family "Bacterial large subunit ribosomal RNA", at positions 920 to 2925 of the family's 2925-position model. The record is from RNAcentral.
GCGGGGGCUUCACCGCCUACCAAUUCCUGACAAACUCCGAAUGCUAUAAAAUGUUGUUGAGCAGUGAGGGCAUGGGUGCUAAGGUCCAUGUCCGAGAGGGAAAGAACCCAGACCAUCAGCUAAGGUCCCAAAAUAUAUGUUAAGUUGAAUAAACGAGGUGAAACUGCUUAGACAGCUAGGAUGUUGGCUUGGAAGCAGCCAUUCAUUUAAAGAGUGCGUAACAGCUCACUAGUCGAGCGGUCCGGCGUGGAUAAUAAUCGGGCAUAAGUAUACUACCGAAGCAAUGGACAUGAAAAUGUGGUAGGGGAGCAUUCUAGUUGCGCCGAAGGUGAAUCGUGAGGUUUGCUGGAGCGGCUAGAAAAGAAAAUGUAGGAAUGAGUAACGAUAAAGCGGGUGAGAAACCCGCUCGCCGAAAAUCUAAGGUUUCCUCAGCUAUGCUAAUCAGCUGAGGGUUAGUCGCGACCUAAGGCGAACCCGAACGGGGUAGUCGAUGGACAACAGGUUAAUAUUCCUGUACUUGUUUAUACUGCGAUGGGGUGACGAUGUACUGAAAGCACCGCGCACUGACGGAAUAGUGCGUUGAAGACUGUAUCUAUAGGACCUGUAGGCAAAUCCGCAGGACCUGGAGAAGGUCGAUAGUACCGAGAGUCUUCGGACAAUCGGAUAGUGUGCCUAAAAACAUCCAAGAAAAACCUCUAAGCUUCAGGUAUAAACAACGCGUACCGUAAACCGACACAGGUAGAUGGGAUGAGAAUUCUAAGGCGCUCGAGUGAUUCAUGGCUAAGGAACUAGGCAAAAUAGUCCCGUAACUUCGGGAGAAGGGACGCCCCCUUAUGGGGGGCCGCAGUGAAAAGGCCCAGGCGACUGUUUAUCAAAAACACAGGACUCUGCUAAAUCGAAAGAUGAUGUAUAGGGUCUGACACCUGCCCGGUGCUGGAAGGUUAAGAGGAGAUGUUAGCUUCGGCGAAGCAUUGAAUUGAAGCCCCAGUAAACGGCGGCCGUAACUAUAACGGUCCUAAGGUAGCGAAAUUCCUUGUCGGGUAAGUUCCGACCUGCACGAAUGGUGUAACGAUCUGGGCACUGUCUCAGCCAUGAGCUCGGUGAAAUUGUAGUAUCGGUGAAGAUGCCGAUUACCCGCAGCGGGACGAAAAGACCCCGUGAACCUUCACUACAACUUUGUAUUGACAUUGGACAAGAGAUGUGUAGGAUAGGUGGGAGACUUUGAAGCGUUGUCGCUAGGCAGCGUGGAGUCAACCUUGAAAUACCACCCUUCGCUUGUUUGAUGCCUAACCCCGCAAGGGGGACAGUGCAUGGUGGGUAGUUUGACUGGGGUGGUCGCCUCCAAAAGAGUAACGGAGGCUUUCAAAGGUAUCCUCAGUACGCUUGGUAACCGUACGUAGAGUGCAAUGGCACAAGGAUGCUUGACUGUGAGACUAACAAGUCGAGCAGGUACGAAAGUAGGACAUAGUGAUCCGGUGGUUCCGCAUGGAAGGGCCAUCGCUCAAAGGAUAAAAGGUACUCCGGGGAUAACAGGCUGAUCUCCCCCAAGAGCUCACAUCGACGGGGGGGUUUGGCACCUCGAUGUCGGCUCGUCACAUCCUGGGGCUGGAGAAGGUCCCAAGGGUUGGGCUGUUCGCCCAUUAAAGUGGCACGCGAGCUGGGUUCAGAACGUCGCGAGACAGUUCGGUCUCUAUCUGCUGUGGGCGUUGGAAAUUUGAGAGGAGCUGACUUUAGUACGAGAGGACCGAGUUGGACAGCCCUCUAGUGUACCUGUUGUUUCGCCAGAAGCAUUGCAGGGUAGCUACGGCUGGUUGGGAUAAGCACUGAAAGCAUAUAAGUGCGAAGCCCACCUCAAGAUGAGAUUUCCCUUAAGGGUCGUUCGAGAUGAGGACGUUGAUAGGCUUCAGGUGUAAAGGCAGUAAUGUCAUAGCCGAGAAGUACUAAUUACCCGUGGCUUUCUAAG